GCGAAAGAGGGAGGUCUCCCGAAAGGUAAGGGCGAUGAAGGAGGCCACUGCUACUGCUGCUCAAACUCCUCAGCGAGAAUUGGUAGAAAUAUCGAGCUCCCCUCCUCGACCUCAAGAGCAGCCGGUCUCUGAAGUAGAGGUUGCCGUUUCUCCACCUCGGCAGAUUGAAUGUUCGCCUCUGCCGCCUCCUCUGAUCUCUUCCAAUGUGGAAGGGGAGUCUUCUGGUCCCAGUGUUAGGACGCUUUCCCAGGGAGCUCAACUUCUCAUCCAAUGACUAGAGAGGAACCGUUCUACCCGAGGGAACCCUGGCCUAGCCAAGGUCAUGGGCGCCUCCAUCUGCUUUCAAGAAGAUCGAAACAGAUUGGCAGAGGAGAGCAUGAACAAUAUUUUAACUCAGACAAUGAGUUUGGGCUUGGAGGCUAUUGAAAAUCAACAUGUGAUCAGAGAAAAAGCCCAUGCCUUAAGGAAGGAGAUUUUUAAGGCGGUCCAGGAUGCCUCAGCUGCAAAGGCUCAGCUCUCCACUGCCAAUGAUUACAUCGUCAAACUGGAAGAUCGGGUGAAGUAUUGCGAAGAGAGGAUAGCUGAAGUGGAGCGAGAACUUGAAGUCUCCCGGGCUAGUCGAUCUGUCGAUCUCGCUCAUUUUUCUGAGAAACUUCGGGUGAAGGAGGAGGAGCUCCAAGCAAAGAAGGAGGAGAGCACUACAAAAGAUGCUGGGGCAUAUGUGAACUCCCAUAACAACCUCCUGUCCGAACUAAAUAAGCGUUAUCCUGAGGAGGACUUCUCCUGGAUGGAUAAGCUUAUCCCAGAGGCCGAAGAGGACAGUGAUGAGGAGCACGAGGGUGAGAAGAGAGGGAGGAAUGUAAUUGGGGCGCAGGACGGAGAAGAAUCCCCUUGCUAAUUGACUUGUAUAUAUUUUUUGUUUUUGAAGUGAAUUGAAGUCUUUUAUGUUCCAUUUCUUGAUGAGAUCGGAAAGCAUUCAAACCAAAUUGUCUGAGUACUUAAUUGAUUGAAUGCAGUUGAAUAUUAAACCUGAGAGCAACUAUUAAUCAAAAGAUAAGAGAUCGGAAAAACAUUAUACGCGAACAUGAGAUCGGAUUGAGUCAUGACCAAAUACUGGAUGGAACCUUAGAAUAUUAAAAUUGCAAAGAUUUGACACCGGCUUGAACUUUUAAGGUCGAAACAAUUAUUAGACCGGAUAAAAACCUUAACUUCAUUUUGAGGAAUAUCUGGGGCAUUCAAGCGAGAAGUCCGAUCACAACAUUAGUCAAAUGAAGUUCUGUGAUGUCUGUACACAGAGAGAUCGAAGAACAUCAGUAGGCAAGAUUGGAUGGUCCGGAGACCCGAUAUUGACUCGAACUCAUCUGAUAGAGACCAAGAGAUCGGAAAAUAAUUUAACUUGAGCGUGAGAUCGAUUCGUUCCAGGGACGAGCAAUCGGUGAGUUCGGAAAAGCUACCUUGUGACCGGGACAUCGAUGGAGAACGGAUAAUAAAGUUUCGAUUUUAAAAGACCCUUGCCUUCGAAGGUCGGCCAAAAUAUGGUGUCUACAAUGCCCAUAAUAGUGGAGAAAUUGACAAAAGAUAGAUGAUGGGUAGCAGUAGAAUGGAAAUGUGACUCAAACCAGUACCUCUAAAGCUUGGUCAGUUUGAGAACUACAGUUGAAUUAGUUUUUUUUUGUAUUUAAUUUGGGGGGCUCAUUUCCAUGUGGUUGAACUUUGGUUUCCA
This 1723-nucleotide unclassified non-coding RNA is filed under the name Hevea brasiliensis (rubber tree). The record is from RNAcentral. Lineage: Eukaryota; Viridiplantae; Streptophyta; Magnoliopsida; Malpighiales; Euphorbiaceae.